CAGACAGCUCAGUAACACGUGGCUAACCUGCCCUUAGGAUGGGAACAACCCCGGGAAACUGGGGCUAACUCUCGAUAGGCGAAGAACUCUGGAACGAGUCUUCACCCAAACAGUUUAAAGUUAUGCUCUUUAAACUGCCCAAGGAUGGGGCCGCGACCGAUCAGGUUGUUGGUGAGGUAAUGGCUCACCAAGCCUUUUACCGGUGCGGGCCGUGGGAGCGGGAGCCCGGAGAUGGGCACUGAGACAAGGGCCCAGGCCCUACGGGGCGCAGCAGUCGCGAAAACUUUGCAAUAAGCGAAAGCUUGACAGGGCUAUCCCGAGUGCCAUCCGCUGAGGAAGGCUUUUACCCAGUCUAGAACGCUGGGGGAAUAAGGAGAGGGCAAGUCUGGUGUCAGCCGCCGCGGUAAUACCAGCUCUCCGAGUGGUGUGGAUGUUUAUUGGGCCUAAAGCAUCCGUAGCUGGCUAGGUUAGUCCCCUGUUAAAUCCACCGAAUUAAUCGUUGGAUUGCGGGGGAUACUGCUUGGCUAGGGGACGAGAGAGGCAGACGGUAUUUCCGGGGUAGGGGUGAAAUCCUAUAAUCCCGGGAAGACCACCAGUGGCGAAGGCUGUCUGCUAGAACGCGCCCGACGGUGAGGGAUGAAAGCUGGGGGAGCGAACC
This 658-nucleotide ribosomal RNA is filed under the name uncultured archaeon. RNAcentral describes it as "bacterial SSU rRNA". It matches the Rfam family "Archaeal small subunit ribosomal RNA", at positions 82 to 725 of the family's 1478-position model. The record is from RNAcentral.